AAGGUUUUUAGGGACCCAGCACUGGAUGGAUGUUCCUGCAUCCAUCGCGUUGGUGGAGGAGCAGCUCCUGCUCCAGGAGGGAAUUCCCGUGUCCCAGGAAAAGGGAAUUGCUCACACAACAGCGGGGAAACAUCCCGGGAUUGGGGCUUGUGGUGUUUGGGACACGGUGUGAGGUUUCCCUGCUGGCUGAGCACAUCCCAUGGGACAUUCCCUGUCAGGAAUUUGGGAUAUAGUGUGAGGUGUCCCUGCUGGCUGAGCACAUCCCAUGGGACAUUCCCUGGCUGUUUACCCGCUGCUUUUCCAGCUCCAUUUCAUCUCCCGUCGUGGAAUUCCCCUGCAGUUCCCACCUCCCCCCCCCUACCUGCCCCUUCCCACGAGGACCGGGAUAAUUAAACAUGGGGGUAAUUAAACAUGGGGGUAAUUAACCAUCGUGCGGGGCGGGCACGGAGCGACCCCGCUGUUUGCCCAGGAGAUAAGGGACGGGAGAUAAGGGGGUGUUUGCUGCCAGCCCAAGGACAGGGCCAGCCCCUGCCCGGGCAGGACAGGUCCCCCGGCCCCGGGGUGACACCUGCGGUGACAUCUGGCGGGGCUGGCACUGCUCUUCCCAUGGGCACGGCCGGCACCGGAGCUUGAAAGGGAAAAAUGAGGAGCGACCUUGGGAUGUGCCCGACUGUGGCUAAAAUCCCACCCAUAAAAUCCCACUCUUGAAAUCCACCUGUUAAAAUCCCACUGCUAAAAUCCCUGUGUUAAAAUACCUCUGUUAAAAUCCCACUGACAAAAUCCCAUUGAUAAAAUCCCAUUGAUAAAACCCCUCUGAUAAAACCCCACUGUGCUGUGUCCUCAGGGAAUUUGGGAAAAGCAAAGCUCACAAAACGAGGUUCCACCUGCUGGGUUUUUCCCGGAUUUUCCUGUCCCCACUGCCACAUCCUUCCUUUGGGAUGUCAUUGCUGAAAUGUCACCCCUGGAGCCACCCCAAAUCCCUGGGGAGGAUGUGGCAGUGCCAGCACAGCCCAGCUCCUCUUGCUCCCAACCGAUGGAUGCCAGGGAAUAAAACAUUCCCAAGGUUUCCAUGACCCCAAAACCCAUCCUGCUGGGUUUUUUUCCCCGGUCUGUGCCAGGUUUGAGGUGAGAUGAAAGGGCCCAGCCCCACCUGGGGCACACCUGGAGCACAGCUGUCACCUCCCGGCCCUUUAUGGCCCUUUGUGGUGCCGCGGGUUGAUAAGGGCUCACCUGGGGGUGUUUGAUAAGGACUCACCUGAGGGAAGGCGCAGGGAGGGGUUGGUCCCUUCCCUGUCCCCUGUCCCCUGACCUCGGGAACAUCAUCCUGAAAGCAGGACCGGCCCCAAGCAAAGAUCCAAGUGAGGGUUGAAACCCCGCAGUUCCGAGCUCCGGGAGGGGGAAUUUCCUUUGUCAAGGGAAUUUUGGGAUCCUCUGGGAUGAUGGAGCCGUGUGUCAGUGUGGGAUUUAAUCUUAUUUAAGGCUGGGUGUGAAAUCGCUGCCUUUGGCCAGGCAGCUGC
This is a non-coding RNA of Sturnus vulgaris (Common starling), 1517 nucleotides long. NCBI's taxonomy places the organism in Eukaryota, Metazoa, Chordata, Aves, Passeriformes, Sturnidae. The record is from RefSeq and is a predicted model, not a curated record.